This 264-nucleotide ribosomal RNA is filed under the name uncultured bacterium. RNAcentral's name for it is "partial 16S ribosomal RNA". It matches the Rfam family "Bacterial small subunit ribosomal RNA", at positions 793 to 1055 of the family's 1533-position model. The record is from RNAcentral.
GUCCACGCCGUAAACGAUGAUAACUAGGUGUUGGGGGAGUUGACCCCUCCAGUACCGUAGCCCACGCGCUAAGUUAUCCGCCUGGGGAGUACGGUCGCAAGACUAAAACUCAAAGGAAUUGACGGGGGCCCGCACAAGAGGUGGAGUAUGUGGUUUAAUUCGAAGCAACGCGAAGAACCUUACCUGGGUUUGACAUACCGUGAAAAGCGCAGAGAUGUGUAAUAGUAGCAAUACACACGGAUACAGGUGCUGCAUGGCUGUCGU